CAUUCAAUGUUUCUGGUCAUUUCCCUGCAGAUCAUGACUAGCUGAAGCAUGUGAACAUUGCUAUGGGCAGAGAUGGAGCAGCCAUUCUUGCAGCCGCGACUUAGCAGUACAGGUAAUUUAGCUAUGCAUGUGAUGGUGAAAGAAGCUUUUCUGAAAAGCUCCAAGCUAUAAGGUUAGCUAAAAAAACUGAUAUUCUGGCUUCUGUAUAGAAGCCUUAGCUUCUUGGCUUUGAUAGCGUGCUUAAUUGGCUUUUACUUGUUAUCAUGAACCAUGCUUGAGCUUUCACAAAUUAAUCACAAUAGUAUUUUGGAGGCUUAUUGUAUACUUAUAGAUGACUUCUUGCGUUUCAUUUAAUAAUGUUUUUUUUU
Dendrobium catenatum is the source of this 368-nucleotide long non-coding RNA. RefSeq lists it as uncharacterized. NCBI's taxonomy places the organism in Eukaryota, Viridiplantae, Streptophyta, Magnoliopsida, Asparagales, Orchidaceae. The record is from RefSeq and is a predicted model, not a curated record. The transcript is spliced from 2 exons.